Molecule: ribosomal RNA, 371 nt
Filed under: uncultured Glomeromycotina
Lineage: Eukaryota; Fungi; Glomeromycota
Description: LSU rRNA
Source: RNAcentral
UUGAAAGGGAAACGAUUGAAGUCAGUCGUACCGGCGNNAAUCAGCCUUUUGGNUGUNANUAUGUGGAGCGUGAGGAGUUAAACACCCUCAUCUUUGCAUAUUCGUGCACUUUGGNUGUACUUGCUCGUGUGGUAGGUUAACAUCAAUUUUGAUCGUCAUAAAAUGAUUGGAGGAAUGUAGCUUCGAUCUCGUAUUGAAGUGUUAUAGCCUUCGGUAGAUGUGAUGAUUGGGAUUGAGGAUUGCAACGGAUACCCUUCGGGGCUACCUGUCUGAUCUCUGAAAGUUGCUCUGGUGCUGAAAGCUUGCUUAUGGUAUCAAAGUUGACGUUCAACAGGUUAGAACGGGAUAAAUUCGUUAAGGAUGUUGACGUA